GAUGAACGCUAGCUACAGGCUUAACACAUGCAAGUCGAGGGGUAACAAGAGGAAAGCUUGCUUUUCUUGUUGACGACCGGCGCACGGGUGAGUAACGCGUAUCCAACCUGCCUAUAACUAGGGAAUAACCUUGCGAAAGUAAGACUAAUACCCUAUGAUUUCCUUUGAUGACAUCAGAUUAGGAAUAAAGAUUUAUCGGUUAUAGAUGGGGAUGCGUCUGAUUAGCUUGUUGGCGGGGUAACGGCCCACCAAGGCAACGAUCAGUAGGGGUUCUGAUGGGAAGGUCCCCCACAUUGGAACUGAGACACGAUCCAAACUCCUGCGGGAGGCAGCAGUGAGGAAUAUUGGUCAAUGGGCGAAAGCCUGAACCAGCCAAGUAGCGUGCAGGAUGACGGCCCUAUGGGUUGUAAACUGCUUUUAUACAGGAAUAAAGUUAGCCACGUGUGGUUAUUUGUAGGUACUGUAUGAAUAAGGACCGGCUAAUUCCGUGCCAGCCGCCGCAGUAA
This 506-nucleotide ribosomal RNA is filed under the name uncultured bacterium. Its description in RNAcentral is "partial 16S ribosomal RNA". It matches the Rfam family "Bacterial small subunit ribosomal RNA", at positions 28 to 523 of the family's 1533-position model. The record is from RNAcentral.